CCAACAAAUCAGAGUAUCAAUGAAGUGAAAGACAAGUCUACAACCUAAACCAAAUCCAGAAAUCAAGAGAAACAUGCAAAACUGUACAAAAGACACAACAAAAACUACCUAGAAAACAAAAAAUUUAACGCAGAAAAACAAAAACUGACAAAGAAAAUAAAAUUCUCCCCCAAUAGACCACACUUAAACGACACAGUGUCCUCAAUGUGUCACAAUCAUCAGAUCACAAUCAUAGCAGUCAACAAACCAAGGACAAGGGCAAUAAAAGUAAGGAAAGGGGGAGAGAAGGGAAAAGGAAACUCCCCUGAUCAUGGUGGUAGUUGCCAAUUUUGGACUAUCAGGGAGAUCUCUUCCACCACCG
This 361-nucleotide long non-coding RNA is filed under the name Vigna radiata. Its description in RNAcentral is "long non-coding RNA (VRAD_LNC016282)". The record is from RNAcentral. Lineage: Eukaryota; Viridiplantae; Streptophyta; Magnoliopsida; Fabales; Fabaceae.